UUUACCCCUAGGGUCAUUGCAGGUGCGGCUGCUGUGUCCCAUGUUUGUCAGUGGGUGGCAGAGAGGAGAGAGGCUAUGUCUACUCCAGUGUUCUAAAUGAUUAGUAACCUAACAUU
This 116-nucleotide small nucleolar RNA is filed under the name Meriones unguiculatus (Mongolian gerbil). RNAcentral's name for it is "Small nucleolar RNA SNORA17 (ENSMUGG00000026741.1)". It matches the Rfam family "Small nucleolar RNA SNORA17". From Rfam's summary of the family: snoRNA ACA 17 belongs to the H/ACA family of snoRNAs and is predicted to guide pseudouridylation of the 28S rRNA at positions U4659 and U4598. The record is from RNAcentral. Lineage: Eukaryota; Metazoa; Chordata; Mammalia; Rodentia; Muridae.